Ceratotherium simum simum (southern white rhinoceros) is the source of this 509-nucleotide non-coding RNA. NCBI's taxonomy places the organism in Eukaryota, Metazoa, Chordata, Mammalia, Perissodactyla, Rhinocerotidae. The record is from RefSeq and is a predicted model, not a curated record.
AGGAAAAGUAAAAAAUGUUAUUUUAAACACUCUCUACUGCUCUGAGCCAAUCAAUUCACCAGAAUUCAAGCAUAAGUGUUCAAAUUUCCCCACCUCAAUAUGCAGGUACAUUGUAAGGGUAAAAAAAAAGUUCCAAGUAAUUAUUUCCUACGUCUAAUAAAUGUUUGUUCUCUUCCUUUUGCUUCUCCUCACUUCUGCCGUAAGUCUCUCUAGCAUCCACAAUGAACAGAAAAGCAAGAACUAUACUUCUCUACACUAAAGAAGGCCAAAGUCUGAGAUGAGUUGUAUUCAAUCCUCAGCUCUGAUGGAUGAAUGCUGACAGGAAAAGAACUUGCCCAUCUCCUCGGGAUGUUGGAGAUAUGCUGGAGCCUUGUGCCUCACCCACUGGAAUCAGGUGAGCAGAGGUUUCAGCAAGAGUCAAACAGUAAGUGGAAAUGCUCUUUACCCACUGGUAAAUUUAUUCCACUUAGAAGUCACUAUUGGCAAAUUUAGUGUUUUAAAACAGAAGG